GUGAAUCAUCAAAUCUUUGAACGCAAAUUGCACUAUCCUCGGAGAGUAUGCCUGCUUGAGGGUCAGCCUAUAAAAAAUCGACAUAGUUGCUGUUUCGCGGUGGCGUUCGUCGGAAAUUGGGUCAUGUUAAAUCUUUUGGUUUUAAGAGAUUUAAAAUGUUCGUUUUGGUUCGAUGAAGGUUUCUAAGAUUUAUUUAUUUAUACGUUUAAGGUAUCGAUUUUUAUUAGAUGUGAACAUGAUAUCGGAUCGCGCGUAUAAUC
This 260-nucleotide unclassified non-coding RNA is filed under the name Glomus sp. RNAcentral's name for it is "partial contains 5.8S ribosomal RNA and internal transcribed spacer 2". The stretch from base 1 to 65 matches the Rfam family "5.8S ribosomal RNA", at positions 84 to 154 of the family's 154-position model. The record is from RNAcentral. Lineage: Eukaryota; Fungi; Glomeromycota; Glomeromycetes; Glomerales; Glomeraceae.